This 292-nucleotide ribosomal RNA is filed under the name uncultured bacterium. Its description in RNAcentral is "partial 16S ribosomal RNA". It matches the Rfam family "Bacterial small subunit ribosomal RNA", at positions 505 to 796 of the family's 1533-position model. The record is from RNAcentral.
GUGCCAGCAGCCGCGGUAAUACAGAGGGGGCAAGCGUUGUCCGGACUGACUGGGCGUAAAGCGCACGCAGGCGGUCGCGGGCGUCGGUGCUGAAAGUCCACCGCUUAACGGUGGAUCGCGUGCCGAUACGCCGCGACUGGAGCCAUGUAGAGGUCCGUGGAAUUGCCGGUGUAGUGGUGAUAUGCGUAGAUAUCGGCAGGAACACCCAAGGGGAAGCCAACGGACUGGGCAUGGGCUGACGCUCAUGUGCGACAGCGUGGGGAGCGAACUGGAUUAGAAACCCUUGUAGUCC